AUGGACAAUAGAGCAACCAUCUUUACUGAUAAACUUAUUAGCAGACACCAAAAUGCUUUCAUCAAGCAUAGAAAUAUCAUGGAUGGGAUCCUCACUCUCCAUGAGAUCUUGCACAACACACACCAUAAAAAGAAAGUUGGGGUAGUCCUGAAGUUGGACUUUGAGAAGGCAUACGACAAAAUUAAUUGGGAUUUUCUCCUUGAGUGUCAUAAUAAUAGAGGUUUUGGUGAAACCUGGUGUGGUUGGCUGAAGAAGAUACUAACUAAUGGCACAGUCAGCAUUAAGCUGAAUAAUGUGACUGGGCCUUACUUUCAAAGCCACAAGGGAGUGCGCCAGGGCGACCCUCACUCCCCUUUUUUGUUUAACCUUGCGGUGGAAACCUUGUCUAAGAUGAUUCGCAAUGCUUAG
RNAcentral lists this ribosomal RNA (408 nucleotides) under Triticum aestivum (bread wheat). RNAcentral describes it as "partial small subunit ribosomal RNA". The record is from RNAcentral. Lineage: Eukaryota; Viridiplantae; Streptophyta; Magnoliopsida; Poales; Poaceae.